AUGUUUCAGAUGUGGGACUAACUAUGACCAUGAAGGUGGUCUUCCGAAGGUACGGCUCAUCCAUUGGUCUCCACGUUUGUUGACCCCUGGGAUUUCCCCAACUGUGUGAAAUCGACUGCAUAAUUUGUGAACCAGUAGGGUGUUUAUUCCCAUUCCUAAG
This 160-nucleotide small nuclear RNA is filed under the name Pogona vitticeps (central bearded dragon). RNAcentral's name for it is "U1 spliceosomal RNA (ENSPVIG00000021734.1)". Lineage: Eukaryota; Metazoa; Chordata; Lepidosauria; Squamata; Agamidae. The record is from RNAcentral.